AUUGAACGCUGGCGGCAUGCUUUACACAUGCAAGUCGAACGGCAGCACGGGUGCUUGCACCUGGUGGCGAGUGGCGAACGGGUGAGUAAUAUAUCGGAACAUGUCCGGAAGUGGGGGAUAACGUACCGAAAGGUACGCUAAUACCGCAUAUGCCCUGAGGGGGAAAGGGGGGGAUCGCAAGACCUCUCGCUUUCGGAGUGGCCGAUAUCGGAUUAGCUAGUAGGUGAGGUAAAGGCUCACCUAGGCGACGAUCCGUAGCUGGUCUGAGAGGACGACCAGCCACACUGGGACUGAGACACGGCCCAGACUCCUACGGGAGGCAGCAGUGGGGAAUUUUGGACAAUGGGCGCAAGCCUGAUCCAGCCAUGCCGCGUGAGUGAAGAAGGCCUUCGGGUUGUAAAGCUCUUUCAGCUGGAAAGAAAUCGUACUUAUUAAUACUAGGUGCGGAUGACGGUACCAGCAGAAGGAGCACCGGCUAACUACGUGCCAGCCGCCGCAGUAA
RNAcentral lists this ribosomal RNA (502 nucleotides) under uncultured bacterium. Its description in RNAcentral is "partial 16S ribosomal RNA". It matches the Rfam family "Bacterial small subunit ribosomal RNA", at positions 30 to 523 of the family's 1533-position model. The record is from RNAcentral.